RNAcentral lists this long non-coding RNA (275 nucleotides) under Monodelphis domestica (gray short-tailed opossum). RNAcentral's name for it is "lncRNA (ENSMODG00000050292.1)". Lineage: Eukaryota; Metazoa; Chordata; Mammalia; Didelphimorphia; Didelphidae. The record is from RNAcentral.
UUUCCCAGCCUUUUUCUUUUCUUUUAAUGCAAAAAAAAAAAAAAAAAAAAAAAAGCAUUUGGAUCAUUGAGGAGAGCCUUUGGUACCAAACCAACCAUCCAACUAAUAAAAAAAAAGAAUUUGGAUCAUUGGGGAGAGCCUUUGCUACCAAACCAACCAACUAACCAAAAAAAAAAAAUUGGGAUCAUUGGGGAGAGCCUUUUGUAACAAACCAACCAACCAACCAAUCAAAAAAAAAAAGCAUUUGGAUCAUUGAGGAGAGCCUUUGGUACCAA